CCUACGGGAGGCAGCAGUGGGGAAUAUUGGACAAUGGGCGAAAGCCUGAUCCAGCAAUGCCGCGUGAGUGAUGAAGGCCUUAGGGUUGUAAAGCUCUUUUACCAGGGAUGAUAAUGACAGUACCUGGAGAAUAAGCUCCGGCUAACUCCGUGCCAGCAGCCGCGGUAAUACGGAGGGAGCUAGCGUUGUUCGGAAUUACUGGGCGUAAAGAGUACGUAGGCGGUUAUUCAAGUCAGAGGUGAAAGCCCGGGGCUCAACCCCGGAACUGCCUUUGAAACUAGAUAGCUAGAAUCUUGGAGAGGUCAGUGGAAUUCCGAGUGUAGAGGUGAAAUUCGUAGAUAUUCGGAAGAACACCAGUGGCGAAGGCGACUGACUGGACAAGUAUUGACGCUGAGGUACGAAAGCGUGGGGAGCAAACAGGAUUAGAUACCCUGGUAGUCCACGCCGUAAACGAUGAUAACUAGUUGUUCGGGCACUUGGUGCCUGAGUGACGCAGCUAACGCAUUAAGUUAUCCGCCUGGGGAGUACGGUCGCAAGAUUAAAACUCAAAAUGAAAUUGAACGG
RNAcentral lists this ribosomal RNA (564 nucleotides) under uncultured bacterium. RNAcentral's name for it is "bacterial SSU rRNA". It matches the Rfam family "Bacterial small subunit ribosomal RNA", at positions 338 to 917 of the family's 1533-position model. The record is from RNAcentral.